UACAGAGGCCUCGAGCGUUAGGCGGAAUCACUGGGCUUAAAGCGUGUGUAGGCGGACUUCUAAGUACCUUGUGAAAUCCCACGGCUUACCCGUGGAACGGCUGGGUAUACUGGGAGUCUUGAGCCACCUAGGGGCGAGUGGAACAAAUGGUGGAGCGGUGAAAUGCGUAGAUAUCAUUUGGAACGCCAAUGGUGAAAACAACUCGCUGGGGGUGUGCUGGCGCUGAGACACGAAAGCCAGGGGAGCGAACGGG
Molecule: ribosomal RNA, 253 nt
Filed under: uncultured bacterium
Lineage: Bacteria
Description: partial 16S ribosomal RNA
Rfam family: Bacterial small subunit ribosomal RNA
Source: RNAcentral